RNAcentral lists this ribosomal RNA (406 nucleotides) under uncultured bacterium. RNAcentral's name for it is "bacterial SSU rRNA". It matches the Rfam family "Bacterial small subunit ribosomal RNA", at positions 354 to 777 of the family's 1533-position model. The record is from RNAcentral.
GUGGGGAAUAUUGCACAAUGGAGGGAACUCUGAUGCAGCGACGCCGCGUGAGUGAAGAAGUAAUUCGUUAUGUAAAGCUCUAUCAGCAGGGAAGAAAGUGACGGUACCUGAAUAAGAAGCUCCGGCUAAAUACGUGCCAGCAGCCGCGGUAAUACGUAUGGAGCAAGCGUUAUCCGGAUUUACUGGGUGUAAAGGGAGAGUAGGUGGCAGAGCAAGUCCGAAGUGAAAACCCAAAGCUCAACUAUGGGAAUGCUUUAGAAACUGCUCAGCUAGAGUGCAGGAGAGGCAAGUGGAAUUCUUAGUGUAGCGGUGAAAUGCGUAGAUAUUAGGAGGAACACCAGUGGCGAAGGCGGCUUGCUGGACUGUAACUGACACUGAGGCUCGAAAGCGUGGGGAGCAAACAGGA